CGGGUGAGUAAUACAUAAAUAACCUGCCCCCUUGUCUGGAAUAACAGUUGGAAACGACUGCUAAUGCCGGAUAAAGUUCUUGGUAGCAUUGCUAAGAAAUAAAAGGUGCCUUGUGCAUCGCAAAGGGAUGGAUUUAUGGCGCAUUAGUUAGUUGGUGAGGUAACGGCUCACCAAGACGAUGAUGCGUAGCCGGCCUGAGAGGGUGACCGGCCACACUGGGACUGAGACACGGCCCAGACUCCUACGGGAGGCAGCAGUAGGGAAUUUUCGGCAAUGGGGGCAACCCUGACCGAGCGACGCCGCGUGAGUGAAGAAGGCCUUCGGGUUGUAAAGCUCUGUUGUAAGGGAAGAACCGUAGUGAUAGGUAAUGAUCACUACCUGACGGUACCUUACCAGAAAGCCACGGCUAACUACGUGCCAGCAGCCGCGGUAAUACGUAGGUGGCAAGCGUUAUCCGGAAUUAUUGGGCGUAAAGGGAGCGCAGGCGGUUUAUUAAGUCUGAUGUUAAAACACGGAGCUCAACUUCGUGAUGCAUUAGAAACUGGUAGACUAGAGUGCAGGAGAGGUAAGUGGAAUUCCAUGUGUAGCGGUAAAAUGCGUAGAUAUAUGGAGGAACAUCAGUAGCGAAGGCGGCUUACUGGCCUGUAACUGACGCUGAGGCUCGAAAGCGUGGGGAACAAAUAGGAUUAGAUACCCUAGUAGUCCACGCUGUAACCAGAAAAGUGCUAGGUGUUGGAGUAGAACUUCAGUCCCGUAGUUAACGCAAUAAAUUAUUCCGCUUGGGGAGUAUGCGCGCAAGCGUAAAACUCAAAGGAUUGACGGGGACCCGCACAAGCGGUGGAGUAUGUGGUUUAAUUCGAUGCAACGCGAAGAACCUUACCUGGUCUUGACAUAUAUUAAAAAGCUUAGAGAUAAGUAAUAGUUAUAGAUAUACAGGUGGUGCAUGGUUGUCGUCAGCUCGUGUCGUGAGAUGUUGGGUUAAGUCCCGUAACGAGCGCAACCCCUAUCUUUAGUUACCAUCAUUUAGUUGGGGACUCUAAAGAGACUGCCGGUGAUAAACCGGAGGAAGGUGGGGACGACGUCAAAUCAUCAUGCCCCUUAUGAUCAGGGCUACACACGUACUACAAUGGCAUAUACAAAGGGCAGCUACACAGCAAUGUGAUGCGAAUCUCAUAAAGUAUGUCUCAGUUCGGAUUGGAGUCUGCAACUCGACUCCAUGAAGCAGGAAUCGCUAGUAAUCGUGGAUCAGAAUGCCACGGUGAAUACGUUCUCGGGUCUUGUACACACCGCCCGUCAA
RNAcentral lists this ribosomal RNA (1297 nucleotides) under uncultured bacterium. RNAcentral describes it as "bacterial SSU rRNA". It matches the Rfam family "Bacterial small subunit ribosomal RNA", at positions 103 to 1400 of the family's 1533-position model. The record is from RNAcentral.